This 295-nucleotide ribosomal RNA is filed under the name Salmonella enterica. Its description in RNAcentral is "partial 16S ribosomal RNA". It matches the Rfam family "Bacterial small subunit ribosomal RNA", at positions 138 to 435 of the family's 1533-position model. The record is from RNAcentral. Lineage: Bacteria; Pseudomonadati; Pseudomonadota; Gammaproteobacteria; Enterobacterales; Enterobacteriaceae. RNAcentral also lists the same sequence under 1 other name.
GGGGGAUAACUACUGGAAACGGUGGCUAAUACCGCAUAACGUCGCAAGACCAAAGAGGGGGACCUUCGGGCCUCUUGCCAUCAGAUGUGCCCAGAUGGGAUUAGCUUGUUGGUGAGGUAACGGCUCACCAAGGCGACGAUCCCUAGCUGGUCUGAGAGGAUGACCAGCCACACUGGAACUGAGACACGGUCCAGACUCCUACGGGAGGCAGCAGUGGGGAAUAUUGCACAAUGGGCGCAAGCCUGAUGCAGCCAUGCCGCGUGUAUGAAGAAGGCCUUCGGGUUGUAAAGUACUU